This 996-nucleotide ribosomal RNA is filed under the name Rhizopus homothallicus. RNAcentral describes it as "SSU rRNA". It matches the Rfam family "Eukaryotic small subunit ribosomal RNA", at positions 85 to 1088 of the family's 1831-position model. The record is from RNAcentral. Lineage: Eukaryota; Fungi; Mucoromycota; Mucoromycetes; Mucorales; Rhizopodaceae.
AACUGCGAAUGGCUCAUUAAAUCAGUUAUGAUCUACGUGACAAAUUCUUUACUACUUGGAUAACCGUGGUAAUUCUAGAGCUAAUACAUGCAAAAAAGCCCUGACUCACGAAGGGGUGCACUUAUUAGAUAAAACCAACGCGGGGUAAAACCUGUUUCUUGGUGAAUCAUAAUAAUUAAGCGGAUCGCAUGGCCUUGAGCCGGCGACGGUCCACUCGAUUUUCUGCCCUAUCAUGGUUGAGAUUGUAAGAUAGAGGCUUACAAUGCCUAUAACGGGUAACGGGGAAUUAGGGUUCGAUUCCGGAGAGGGAGCCUGAGAAACGGCUACCACAUCCAAGGAAGGCAGCAGGCGCGCAAAUUACCCAAUCCCGACACGGGGAGGUAGUGACAAUACAUAACAAUGCAGGGCCUUUAAGGUCUUGCAAUUGGAAUGAGUACAAUUUAAAUCCCUUAACGAGGAUCAAUUGGAGGGCAAGUCUGGUGCCAGCAGCCGCGGUAAUUCCAGCUCCAAUAGCGUAUAUUAAAGUUGUUGCAGUUAAAACGUCCGUAGUCAAACUUUAGUCUUACCGGUGCGGUGGCCUGGUCUUCAUUGACCAAGCUCACUGUCGCUGGAGACUCCACGUCCGCUUUCUUCUAGUCUUCGGGCUAGGAUUUUGUGGACAAUUACCAUGAGCAAAUCAGAGUGUUUAAAGCAGGCUUUUAAGCUUGAAUGUGUUAGCAUGGAAUAAUGAAAUAUGACUUUAGUCCUAUUUUCGUUGGUUUAGGUACUAUAGUAAUGAUUAAUAGAAACGGUUGGGGGCAUUUGUAUUUGGCCGCUAGAGGUGAAAUUCUUGGAUUGGCCGAAGACAAACUACUGCGAAAGCAUUUGACCCAGGACGUUUUCAUUGAUCAAGGUCUAAAGUUAAGGGAUCGAAGACGAUUAGAUACCGUCGUAGUCUUAACCACAAACUAUGCCGACUAGAGAUUGGGCGUGUUUCUUAUGACUCGCUCAGCAUCU